GAUGAAGAACGUAGCGAAAUGCGAUACUUGGUGUGAAUUGCAGAAUCACGUGAACCAUCGAGUCUUUGAACGCAAGUUGCGCCUCAAGCCAUUAGGUUGAGGGCACGUCUGCCUGGGCGUCACAUAUCGUUGCCUGAUGCCAGUUUCCUCGUGAUGGGUGACUGUGCAGGGCGAAUGAUGGCUUCCCGUGAGCAUUGUUGCCUCAUGGUUGGCUGAAAAUUGAGUCCUUGGUAGGGAGCGCCGUGAUAGAUGGUGGUUGAGUGACGAACGAGACCCAAUCAUGUGAGACCCCUACCGAAUUUGGCCUUCAUGACCCACAUGCGUCUUUGGAACGCUCAUGACGAGACCUCAGGUCAGGCGGGGCUACCCGCUGAGUUUAAGCAUAUCAAUAAGCGGAGGA
RNAcentral lists this unclassified non-coding RNA (400 nucleotides) under soil metagenome. RNAcentral describes it as "partial contains 5.8S ribosomal RNA, internal transcribed spacer 2, and large subunit ribosomal RNA". The stretch from base 1 to 122 matches the Rfam family "5.8S ribosomal RNA", at positions 35 to 154 of the family's 154-position model. The record is from RNAcentral.